AAAGAAAAAGAAUAAAAGGAAAAAUGUUAUUAUGAUUUAUAAACACACAUGGUUAGUAGAUUCCCUCCUGUAUACACAUGCAUCAAAUGCAGAAUUCUUAAACAUGUCACUCAGGAUUACAAAUAAAAUAAGCCUUCAUAUAAACGUAGACUCACUUAAUCAUGAUUAAUCAAAGUUUGUGUCAUCAUGGUUGUAAACUCAUCCAUAUCAACCAUACCAUCACCAUCAGCAUC
Molecule: unclassified non-coding RNA, 233 nt
Filed under: Hevea brasiliensis (rubber tree)
Lineage: Eukaryota; Viridiplantae; Streptophyta; Magnoliopsida; Malpighiales; Euphorbiaceae
Source: RNAcentral